GUGUGCGCGUGUAUGCGUGUGCGUGCGUGCAUGUGCGCAUGCGCAUUUUAAUGAUAUUCGAUGCAGACAGACACUUGAUUCCUUACUGGGCUUCGUGGUUUUUAACUAAACUUCUCUGUUUGGGUGUCCUCUGUGUGUGCACGGUACACAGACCUCUGUCAUUCUGGCAGGAGUUACAACACAGCAGGUGGUUGCAGAAAGGAAUUAACACACUGCCCUGGAAAGCAAGAGAUCCCUGGAAAGCAAGAGAUCCCUGGAAAGCAAAAAGAUUCCUGGAAAGCAAAAAGAUUCCUGGUUGACGUAACGUCCUCCAAUAGUCGAUUCCACCAUGUCGUCCAUCGGACCUCUGGAUCGGACCUCGUUCAUGGGGGCAGAGUCCUCACCUUCGGCAGCCUCCUCUCCAAGACACUCCUUCUUCUUCUGGGAAAAUGGGGGAAACAAACCCCAGCCAGGAAAGCUUUGUCUGUUGUCCUCCAGAGGAGGAUGGGCCCCCUUUGAG
Long non-coding RNA from Electrophorus electricus (electric eel), 499 nucleotides. RefSeq lists it as uncharacterized. The record is from RefSeq and is a predicted model, not a curated record. NCBI's taxonomy places the organism in Eukaryota, Metazoa, Chordata, Actinopteri, Gymnotiformes, Gymnotidae.